RNAcentral lists this ribosomal RNA (402 nucleotides) under uncultured prokaryote. RNAcentral's name for it is "bacterial SSU rRNA". It matches the Rfam family "Bacterial small subunit ribosomal RNA", at positions 355 to 774 of the family's 1533-position model. The record is from RNAcentral.
UGGGGAAUAUUGGACAAUGGGCGCAAGCCUGAUCCAGCCAUGCCGCGUGAGUGCUGAAGGCCUUAGGGUUGUAAAGCUCUUUCACCCACGACGAUAAUGACGGUAGUGGGAGAAGAAGCCCCGGCUAACUUCGUGCCAGCAGCCGCGGUAAUACGAAGGGGGCUAGCGUUGUUCGGAUUUACUGGGCGUAAAGCGCGCGUAGGCGGAACGUUAAGUCGGAGGUGAAAGCCUGGGGCUCAACCCCAGAACUGCCUUCGAUACUGGCGGUCUCGAGUCCGGGAGAGGUGAGUGGAACUGCCAGUGUAGAGGGGAAAUUCGUAGAGAUUGGCAAGAACACCAGUGGCGAAGGCGGCUCACUGGCCCGGUACUGACGCUGAGGUGCGAAAGCGUGGGGAGCAAACA